Molecule: ribosomal RNA, 137 nt
Filed under: uncultured eukaryote
Lineage: Eukaryota
Description: partial 18S ribosomal RNA
Rfam family: Eukaryotic small subunit ribosomal RNA
Source: RNAcentral
UGGUGGAGUGAUUUGUCUGGUUAAUUCCGUUAACGAACGAGACCUUAGCCUGCUAACUAGACGCGGCGAUCUCGAUCGUCUUCGUCUUCUUAGAGGGACUUUGUGAUCUAAACACAAGGAAGUUUGAGGCAAUAACA